ACAGGUGGUGGUAUCUGACUGUGUGUGUGUACAGGUGGUAGUAUCUGACUGUGUGUGUGUGUACAGGUGGUAGUAUCUGACUGUGUGUGUGAUGUGUUUUGUGUUCACAGCUCUGACCGUCUGAUUGAUGACACAAUCAGCAUUGCGAUGGCGACGAAGGAGAAGCUGACGUCACAGCGAGGAGUUUACCGCUCGAUCCAGAGCAAGGUGAACAGCCUGGCACAUCGAUUUCCGCUGGUCAACAGCCUUCUGCAGCGAAUCGCCGUUCGCAAGCGGAGAGAUGCUCUGGUCCUGGCGACCAUCACCGCAACCUGCAUCAUCAUCCUGAUACUCUACAGCCUGCACUAGCACAACAACCACAACAACCACAACAACAACAACAACAAUCACAACUACAACCACAACAACUACUACAACUACUACAACUACUACAACUACUACAACCACCACAACCACUACCACCAUCACCGCAACCUGCAUCAUCAUCCUGAUACUCUACAGCCUGCACUAGCACAACAACAACAACCACAACAACAACCACAACAACAACCACAACAACUACCACAACAACAACUACAACUACUACAACUACUACCACAACUACUACCACCAUCACCGCAACCUGCAUCGUCAUCCUGAUAUUCUACAGCCUGCACUAGCACAACAACCACAACAACAACAACCACAACAACCACAACAACUACAACAACUACUACUACAUCUACUACCACUACAACUACUACAACCACAACCACUACUACCACCACCACCACCACCACAACAA
Molecule: non-coding RNA, 784 nt
Organism: Petromyzon marinus (sea lamprey)
Lineage: Eukaryota; Metazoa; Chordata; Hyperoartia; Petromyzontiformes; Petromyzontidae
Source: RefSeq, a predicted model, not a curated record